RNAcentral lists this small RNA (36 nucleotides) under Bombyx mori (domestic silkworm). RNAcentral's name for it is "ovarian small RNA-14991". Lineage: Eukaryota; Metazoa; Arthropoda; Insecta; Lepidoptera; Bombycidae. The record is from RNAcentral.
CUUCGGCGUACUUAAAUCAUCAGUUCUAACGCCGGA